Molecule: ribosomal RNA, 468 nt
Filed under: uncultured bacterium
Lineage: Bacteria
Description: partial 16S ribosomal RNA
Rfam family: Bacterial small subunit ribosomal RNA
Source: RNAcentral
GAUGAACGCUGGCGGCGUGCUUAAUACAUGCAAGUCGAACGGAAAGGCCCUGCUUUUGUUGGUUUCUCGAUUGGGGAACGGGUGAGUAACACGCGAGUAUCCUGCCCUUGUCUUUGGGAUAACUUUAGGAAACUGGGGCGAAUACCGGAUAUGAGCUCCUGCUCCAUGUGGGUGGAUGGAAAGUUUCGGCGGUUGGGGAUGGACUCGCGGGUUAUCGGCUUGUUGGUGGGGUAGUGGCUUACAAAGGCUUUGACGGGUAGCCGGCCUGGGAGGGGUACCGGCCACAUUGGGCCUGCGAUACGGAGCAGAAUCCAACGGGCGGCAGCAGUGGGAAGUCUUGCAGAGUGGGGGGAAGCCUGAUACGGAAACGCCGGGUGCGUAAUGACGGCCUUCGGGUUGUAAACCGCUUUCGCAUGUGACGAAGCGUGAGUGACGGUAAUGGGUAAAGAAGCAACAGCUAACUACGUG